GAAGAAGAUUGGAAGAAAUUUAAAGACUAUCUACAGAAAUACUAUAAAAUUAAUGAAUGUUAAAUUGAGGUCUGAUUGAAAAUAACUGGUAUUGGCAAAAGCCUUGUGAUUAAGAGCAUGGAAUAUUUGAUCGAUAAAGUUGUAAUAUUUAUAUAUAAAUAGAUUAACUUUUUUGAGUUAAGAUAAAGAAAGGAGGGUAAGGAUUUGCUGAAAGGAGUUCUUAAAUGGAAAUACAAGCGGGGAGAUGUGGGGAAGUCAAAGAAUUAGGUAAUGAUAAGAAGGUUAAAUGAAAGUAUAAUACUUUUUAAAUUUUUCUGUUUCUUUUUCUUUUUUUCUUUUUUCUUUUUUUGUUAUGGAUAUUGUUAUCUCUGUUUGCUUUUUGUUAUUGUUAUUGUUGUUUUCUGUUUGUCGAAUUUUUGUAUUUUUGCAUCUUUUGGAAUUUUUUUUGUAAAACCAAUAAAUAUUAU
This 467-nucleotide long non-coding RNA is filed under the name Podarcis lilfordi (Lilford's wall lizard). The record is from RNAcentral. Lineage: Eukaryota; Metazoa; Chordata; Lepidosauria; Squamata; Lacertidae.